CCUUCCAUAGGUGGGAGCCAGGAGGCCGGUGCUCAGCUCUGUGCAGUGGAGCUUGGGAGCUGUAACUCGAAGGAAUCUCAGGCUUUGGAACUGAUGUCAGCCAUGCUUCCAGAAUCUUCUGCUCAUUGUCAGCAGCAAGACAGAAUGAAUGGAUCUCUGAAGCUGAUGUCAUUUGAUGAUGUGGCUGUGAACUUCACCUGGAAGGAGUGGCAGGAUCUGGAUUCUGGUCAGAGGACCC
This is a long non-coding RNA of Dipodomys ordii (Ord's kangaroo rat), 238 nucleotides long. RefSeq lists it as uncharacterized. The record is from RefSeq and is a predicted model, not a curated record. NCBI's taxonomy places the organism in Eukaryota, Metazoa, Chordata, Mammalia, Rodentia, Heteromyidae. The transcript is spliced from 3 exons.